This 912-nucleotide ribosomal RNA is filed under the name uncultured bacterium. RNAcentral describes it as "bacterial SSU rRNA". It matches the Rfam family "Bacterial small subunit ribosomal RNA", at positions 8 to 916 of the family's 1533-position model. The record is from RNAcentral.
AGAGUUUGAUCAUGGCUCAGAUUGAACGCUGGCGGCAGGCCUAACACAUGCAAGUCGAGCGGAUGAGGGGUGCUUGCACCCCGAUUCAGCGGCGGACGGGUGAGUAAUGCCUAGGAAUCUGCCCGAUAGUGGGGGACAACGUUUCGAAAGGAACGCUAAUACCGCAUACGUCCUACGGGAGAAAGUGGGGGCUCUUCGGACCUCACGCUAUCGGAUGAGCCUAGGUCGGAUUAGCUAGUUGGUGGGGUAAAGGCCCACCAAGGCGACGAUCCGUAACUGGUCUGAGAGGAUGAUCAGUCACACUGGAACUGAGACACGGUCCAGACUCCUACGGGAGGCAGCAGUGGGGAAUAUUGGACAAUGGGCGAAAGCCUGAUCCAGCCAUGCCGCGUGUGUGAAGAAGGUCUUCGGAUUGUAAAGCACUUUAAGUCGGGAGGAAGGGCUGUAGGUUAAUACCCUGCGGUUUUGACGUUACCGACAGAAUAAGCACCGGCUAACUUCGUGCCAGCAGCCGCGGUAAUACGAAGGGUGCAAGCGUUAAUCGGAAUUACUGGGCGUAAAGCGCGCGUAGGUGGUUUGGUAAGUUGGAUGUGAAAGCCCCGGGCUCAACCUGGGAACUGCAUCCAAAACUGCCUGACUAGAGUACGGUAGAGGGUGGUGGAAUUUCCUGUGUAGCGGUGAAAUGCGUAGAUAUAGGAAGGAACACCAGUGGCGAAGGCGACCACCUGGACUGAUACUGACACUGAGGUGCGAAAGCGUGGGGAGCAAACAGGAUUAGAUACCCUGGUAGUCCACGCCGUAAACGAUGUCGACUAGCCGUUGGGCUCCUUGAGAGCUUAGUGGCGCAGCUAACGCAUUAAGUCGACCGCCUGGGGAGUACGGCCGCAAGGUUAAACUCAAAGGAAUUGACGG